UACGUAGGGUGCAGGCGUUAAUCGGAAUUACUGGGCGUAAAGCGUGCGCAGGCGGUUUGCUAAGACAGGUGUGAAAUCCCCGGGCUUAACCUGGGAACUGCGCUUGUUACUGGCAAGCUGGAGUGUGGCAGAGGGGGGUGGAAUUCCACGUGUAGCAGUGAAAUGCGUAGAGAUGCGGAGGAACACCGAUGGCGAAGGCAGCCCCCUGGGCUAACACUGACGCUCAUGCACGAAAGCGUGGGGAGCGAACAGG
RNAcentral lists this ribosomal RNA (253 nucleotides) under uncultured bacterium. Its description in RNAcentral is "partial 16S ribosomal RNA". It matches the Rfam family "Bacterial small subunit ribosomal RNA", at positions 524 to 776 of the family's 1533-position model. The record is from RNAcentral.